UUCGACAGGGGCGAAUCCGCGGCGAAGGUCACGACCGCCGUGCCCUGGUCGGUCGCCCGGUUGAUAGGCUCGAUGAACGGAUCCGAGUUCAUCGGGUGAACCAGAAU
Molecule: small RNA, 107 nt
Filed under: Sinorhizobium meliloti 2011
Lineage: Bacteria; Pseudomonadati; Pseudomonadota; Alphaproteobacteria; Hyphomicrobiales; Rhizobiaceae
Description: putative ncRNA
Source: RNAcentral